AAUUACCCAAUCCUGACACAGGGAGGUAGUGACAAGAAAUAACAAUACAGGGCUUAAAGUCUUGUAAUUGGAAUGAUGGGAAUCUAAACCCUUCCCAGAGUAUCAAUUGGAGGGCAAGUCUGGUGCCAGCAGCCGCGGUAAUUCCAGCUCCAAUAGCGUAUAUUAAAGUUGUUGCAGUUAAGAAGCUCGUAGUUGAAUUUCUGCCUUGUCAUUAAUCUCGCUUCCGAGCGUUUUUUUAUUGACUUGGCAUCUUCUGGAUUUGGUGCCUUCGGGUACUAUUUUCCAGGAUUUACUUUGAGAAAACUAGUGUGUUUCAAACAGGCAUUCGCCUUGAAUACUACAGCAUGGAAUAAUGAAGUAGGACUUUGGUUCUAUUUUGUUGGUUAUUGAGCCAGAGUAAUGGUUAAUAGGAGCAGUUGGGGGCAUUCGUAUUUAA
This 436-nucleotide ribosomal RNA is filed under the name Babesia microti. RNAcentral's name for it is "SSU rRNA". It matches the Rfam family "Eukaryotic small subunit ribosomal RNA", at positions 439 to 901 of the family's 1831-position model. Lineage: Eukaryota; Apicomplexa; Aconoidasida; Piroplasmida; Babesiidae. The record is from RNAcentral.